Molecule: long non-coding RNA, 2392 nt
Organism: Carya illinoinensis
Lineage: Eukaryota; Viridiplantae; Streptophyta; Magnoliopsida; Fagales; Juglandaceae
Exons: 2
Source: RefSeq, a predicted model, not a curated record
AUUAAAUUUGUCUUACUUUGGACCACUGCCAACUGUUUUCUGUUCGUCAUUAAUCAAUAUAUUAUAUAUAUCCGCAUAAACUUUUCUGCCCUCUCAUGACAACAAAACCACUUGGUGAGAGUACUUAGACCUAAAGGAUGAGAGAUGAGACACUCCUGGCCACUAUUUAUAUCCCCUUCCUCUCCCUCUCUCUUCCAUAGCAGCUUUCAUAAUCCUUACAGAAAGAAAUAGCUUCAUCUCUCUCUCUCUCUCUCUGAUCUCUCCUAUCCAUCUUCGUCAAUCUGUGGCUGCCUUACCUGCUUCUCGUGCACCACUAGCGGUUGAAGCUGCCAGCAUGAUCUAAACUUCCCUCUCGAUUAAUCAAGGAAAGAUCGGAUCAUGUGGCAGCUUCACCUGUUGAUGGAAUCACGAAAAACCCAGAAUUUUUUUCAGAAAUUGAUGUCCAUUCUUGCUACGAUUUCCGCUGGAUUAUUAAUGUAUAUCUCAUAUAUAUAUAUGCCCAUCUGGGUAUUCUAGGGAAAAGCCCCAGGAUAAGAUUUGGGGAAUCUUGACAGCAAGGAGAUAUCACUGUUAGGGUUCUGAGUGACAGAAUUUCUCGUCUUAACAUGGUUGGUGCUUUUGAGAUCCCAUCUUAUUGGUGCAUAGCUUAUGACAAGUGUCAUUAAGGCUGUACAUCUUGAGAUUAAAUCAAUUAGUUCAUUGGUUUUGGUGAAGAGAAUAAUUUAUAGUCUCGGCAUCUUUCAUUUUUAUAUUAAAUUUUUUUUAAGUAAUAGGAAAAGGGAAAGCUAUUGAUUACUUUUUGUGGCCUGCAAUAUUAUAAAGCUUCUAAUUUCUUAUAAUAAUGUUUGUUUUGGGGAGUUGCCGAUCUCAGGAUAUUGUUGUUUAAUCGUUGUAAUCAUGAUGCUGCCGAUGAUGUACGUCCAUAUAUCAAUUUCCAUCUUGUUCGAUCAUAGGAGUAGUACUUUGUUCAUGAAUCUAAGAAACUCUUAUUAAGAGUAGUUAGUGGAAAAUGAAGUGUCCCUUUUUCUUUUUGUUUCGUUUCCUAAUUGAUCUCUCUCAUGUUAAUUAUUAUAAAAUAAACGUGAAAAUUAACUAAUACUUGCUAAUUAAUUAACUUAUGUGAUUGAAAUGGCCACUUUCUAUACUAAACUAAUUAAAACAAGAGAAAAUCUUUCUACGGCCAUUGAUAGUACAUCAUGAUAACCUUAAUUAAUUUCAAGGUUUGCUUGCGGAGUUAUAUUAAUUUGCAAAGCCAUGCAUCCAAUUACUAUUCAACGUACUUGCCUAAUUAAUUACAUAUAUAUAUAUAUAUAUAUAUAUUGUUUGUAUAUAUAUAUGUAUGUAUUUGUGUGUGCGCUCAUGGCUUUCAGUUUGGCUUAUGUUUUGUUCUUUUUCUUUGUUUUUUUCCCUCAACAUAUGCUGAUAUCAUAUCAUCAUAAAGGAAAUAUUACGACACGGUAGGGAUCUAUGUAAACACUUAAAUUAAGGAUCCAAUGAUAAUAAUCUAUGUUAACUCAAAAGGUGGAUCUGCAAGAAAUGGGUAUACGUAGUCGCCUGAGACGGCGUGAGGUUCUUAGUACUCAUAUGACAUUGCGAUCGUAAAUUGCUUGGAGCUGGUAAUUUUGAAGGAUGGCACGUCAACGAUGUUCAAGGCAGCAAGAGGAUGUUUGUGGUUUGAUACUGGCACGAUUUGAGCAGAGCUAAGAAACCAAAAACUAAACACAAUAACUAUAGACUAAUUCGAUCCAUGGCUUUGGCAAGAGAUGAACAUGCACUAGGAAGGGAAUAGGAGUCGUCCAAUUCCCUUUGUACCAAUGAGGAGGAAUCUUCCAAGCAAGCUAGUAGGUGAACAAGAAAAAUUCCAUUUAGAGAAAGAGAAAAAAUAGAUCUAGUAGAAAAUUAAUAAAAGAAAUGACAGACGAAAAUAUUUUCUAAUGUUUACCUCAGCAGUGGGUUUCCAAGAUUGUUUAACAGUAGAGGAAGAGCUUCAAGCACAAGAACAACCUUGAUUGGUGAUGGAGUUGACGAGCGAAGUCAGAGGAAGAUGGUGCCUUUAGCCACAACAUUGCCUUUGGCGCCAAACACAAAAGAAAGCGUGGAGAGAGAGAGAGAGAGAGAGAGAGAGAGAGAGAGAGAGAGAGAGAGAGAGUCUGAAAUAAAAAUAGGGACUUUCAGCCAGAAUAGAAAAACUAAUUUAAAAUGUUUAAAAUGAUGAAUAGUUUUCUUUACAUCUAGCGAGAGUACUGUAACAAACUGUAUAGUAAAGAUGGAAUACAAGAUCCAUUAGAGGGCAUGCACCCUUGAACAAUUUUCUUUAUAUUUUAAAGAACAUUAUAUUUUAGAGUAUCCAUUGGGAAUGUUCUUAACUUCGGAAUGAGAACAAUUUUAAGUA